Molecule: long non-coding RNA, 716 nt
Organism: Zingiber officinale
Lineage: Eukaryota; Viridiplantae; Streptophyta; Magnoliopsida; Zingiberales; Zingiberaceae
Exons: 3
Source: RefSeq, a predicted model, not a curated record
CGAAACCCCCUGCACGCCCGAGCCUUCUUCCCCCCCUCCGCGCGAACCCGAGCCCUAACCGGCGCUCACGGCGGUUUCCUCCACUUCCUCUUCUCGGUUCCCUCCUCUUCUCUUACAUCUUAUCCUCUGCCGACGCCGAGCAUCAACCACAAGAGCUCCGGCGGCUUCGCACUCUGCCCUAGCCGACCCUUUCAUUUGCCGGCGAUCUUCCUGAGCCGAGCAUCACGCCGGCAGCCGACCUAUUGCCUUUGCCCUAGCUUGGAUCGCGAGCCCUCUCCGCCGCUGAGAUCAGGAACGCGCCGGCGACGCACGGAACAGCGCCUUUUCCCUGGAGUCCCAGCGCCGACCACCACAGUGUCGUGGCCCUUUUCCCCUCUUCCCAUCUUCGCCAGUGCGUCUCUGCUUGGAUUACAUCCGGCCAAGAACAACGAAUCAAACCCUAGUUCUUCCUUGGCGUGCCACUUCCGAGUGCAAGUUUGUUUCUCCACAGCGAACCCCUCUGCCCUACCUCUACCUUAGCACCAGCAGCUACCUCCGAUACAGAGUAGGUUUGUAGUGGAUGAUUUUGGGUUCCAGCAGCUAUCCCAUUUAGCAACCUACUUAAUUGUCAACAGCAACACACUUUGCGAUCGGGAAUCAAGAAACCACAGGCUGUGAAUUGAGGACUUUGACGCGAGACGAGUAUCUCGGAGUCAGAUUGGACCUUUCUAUUUUCG